GCUGGGAUGGCCGAACGGCAAGGCGCAGGAUUGCUAAUCCUGUGGGCGCAAGCCCUUGAGAGUUCGAAUCUCUCUCCCAGCG
This 82-nucleotide transfer RNA is filed under the name Candidatus Aenigmatarchaeota archaeon. RNAcentral's name for it is "tRNA-Ser". It matches the Rfam family "tRNA". Rfam says of the family: Transfer RNA (tRNA) molecules are approximately 80 nucleotides in length. Lineage: Archaea; Nanobdellati; Candidatus Aenigmatarchaeota. The record is from RNAcentral.